UGGACGCGCGCGGGGCUGCGCGAGGCUCCCGGCGCCGGGGGGGCCAUGCGCCGGGCCGCGCCGGCAGCCUGGGGACCCGGCGCAACUUGCCGGGCAGCCUGAGGAGUUGGGGCGGCCGCGGGCUCGGCGCCGCGGCGCCCGGCCGCCUUUCUUCCCCCUCACCAGAACCCGCCUCCCUUUUGGCCGUGGGGGAGGGGGCUCGUGUCCCCCCCUCUCCGGAGACCCGGUCGGCCCCCGUCCGCUCCAGCCCCCGCGGAGCCGCGCAACUUCCCCGGAGCCGGGGCCAAAGUGAGCGCAAAGUGCUGCCCAAGUUGCCGGGAUGGAGCUGCAGAGCCGGCCCGAGGCGCUCGCCGUGGAACUCGCGCGCCACCAGAACGGCGAUCUCAAGAAACAGCUCCACGAGAGGCAGCCGCGGAUCGCCGCGCUCAGCGACAAACAAUUCUCGGCACAACAUGUAGAUGCCACGUGAUGCAGGCAUCUUCAGACCUGAACUUCACGCAAGUUCAGCUUCACCGCAGAGUGAGAGGAUUCUCCUGUAUCAACUGCAGUCCGAGCGGGCAUGGCAGAGAGAGCACCGGCCUCCACCCCAGCGAACGUGGGGCCUUGUGUGCUGCUCCACCCGUCGACCUGGUGGACUCCGGAUUCCGAGGGGAUGUCCUCAAGUGCAGCAGUAAAAAUACGUCUUCUUGAAAGAUAUUUGCAGCCGAUCACCACCAUCGAUUUUAGAACAUUUUCAUCGUCUCAGAAAGAAACGCUUUGGGUAUCAUCCCCGCUGCACACCCCACCCCCAGGCCCUAAGCAACCGCUAAUCUAC
Molecule: long non-coding RNA, 814 nt
Organism: Physeter macrocephalus (sperm whale)
Lineage: Eukaryota; Metazoa; Chordata; Mammalia; Artiodactyla; Physeteridae
Exons: 4
Source: RefSeq, a predicted model, not a curated record